AGAGCCACCUAAGCUGAAGAUUCCCUUGAGAACAAGUACUGUCCUGCGGUUUCAUGGCCUUUCUUCCAUUUGUGGUUCUUGCGAAGUGGAAUUUAAAUGACAUCUUAUCAAGAUGGAUAAACCCUAGUUUCCCAGUGCUGGAAUAUAGAAAAUGGAUGGACAAGUAAAUCCCACUCAGCACCCAUAGUCCAGCUGGACCUACCAUGAAAGACUUCUGAAUCCAGGAAGAGAAACUGGCUGGGCAACAUGUUAUUCAGAAACAGGACCUUGCCCUGUCACUCAGGAUGGAGUUCAGUGGUCCUAUCAUGGCUCAUUAUAGCCUCAAACUCCCAGGCUCAAGCAAUCCUACCAUGUCAGCCUUCCCAGUAGCUGGGACUACAGAAAGUGACCUCACAAUGACUCAAGCUACCACAUACUGUUGAUUGUGAAAUGCCAGUUGAAGCAUAUGUCCUGCGAGCUUAGGGGUGCUACAAGUUGACCACAGCAGCAGUAAAGAUGACUCUGAAGAAUGGCAUGGGAUGGAUCCUUUCGAAUGCAUUUGAGCAGCGGUCUCCAACCACAGGGCCACAGAGCUGGAGCUGGAUCUACCAUGAAAGACUUCUGAAUCCAGGAAGAGAGACUGACUGGGCAACAUGUUAUUCAGGGUCUCCCUCUGUUGUCCAAGGCUGGAGUGUAGUAGUGCUAUCGCAGCUGACUGCAGCCUCAACCUUCCAGGCUGAAGCGAUCCUCCCACCUCAACCUCCCACGUGGCUGAGACUACAGGUGCUUGCCACUAUGCCCAACUAAUAUUUGGAAUUUUCGUAUACGUGGAUUCCAGAGGGGUGACAGCGAAACGUGGGACCAUCCAGUUGCAGGAAAACAAGCUUAACAUGCCCACUGAUUCUACA
Molecule: long non-coding RNA, 887 nt
Filed under: Homo sapiens (human)
Lineage: Eukaryota; Metazoa; Chordata; Mammalia; Primates; Hominidae
Description: PREDICTED lncRNA (TCONS_00023574)
Source: RNAcentral